UACGUAGGUGGCGAGCGUUGUCCGGAUUUACUGGGCGUAAAGAGCGCGCAGGCGGUCGUGCAAGUCGCGUGUGAAAGCCCCCGGCUCAACUGGGGAGGGUCACGCGAUACUGCUCGACUCGAAGGCAGGAGAGGGAAGCGGAAUUCCCGGUGUAGUGGUGAAAUGCGUAGAUAUCGGGAGGAACACCAGUGGCGAAGGCGGCUUCCUGGACGACAACUGACGCUGAGACGCGAAAGCGUGGGGAGCAAACAGG
Molecule: ribosomal RNA, 253 nt
Filed under: uncultured bacterium
Lineage: Bacteria
Description: partial 16S ribosomal RNA
Rfam family: Bacterial small subunit ribosomal RNA
Source: RNAcentral